This 656-nucleotide ribosomal RNA is filed under the name uncultured bacterium. RNAcentral describes it as "bacterial SSU rRNA". It matches the Rfam family "Bacterial small subunit ribosomal RNA", at positions 84 to 734 of the family's 1533-position model. The record is from RNAcentral.
CCUGGCGACGAGUGGCGAACGGGUGAGUAAUAUAUCGGAACGUGCCCAGUUGUGGGGGAUAACUACUCGAAAGAGUGGCUAAUACCGCAUGAGACCUGAGGGUGAAAGCGGGGGACUCGCAAGAGCCUCGCGCAGUUGGAGCGGCCGAUAUCAGAUUAGCUAGUUGGCGGGGUAAAAGCCCACCAAGGCAACGAUCUGUAGCUGGUCUGAGAGGACGACCAGCCACACUGGGACUGAGACACGGCCCAGACUCCUACGGGAGGCAGCAGUGGGGAAUUUUGGACAAUGGACGCAAGUCUGAUCCAGCCAUGCCGCGUGCGGGAAGAAGGCCUUCGGGUUGUAAACCGCUUUUGUCAGGGAAGAAACGGCUCGGGUUAAUACCUUGGGCUAAUGACGGUACCUGAAGAAUAAGCACCGGCUAACUACGUGCCAGCAGCCGCGGUAAUACGUAGGGUGCAAGCGUUAAUCGGAAUUACUGGGCGUAAAGCGUGCGCAGGCGGUUAUGCAAGACAGAUGUGAAAUCCCCGGGCUCAACCUGGGAACUGCAUUUGUGACUGCAUGGCUAGAGUACGGUAGAGGGGGAUGGAAUUCCGCGUGUAGCAGUGAAAUGCGUAGAUAUGCGGAGGAACACCGAUGGCGAAGGCAAUCCCCUGGAC